GCGCUCGUGGCGGAAUUGGCAGACGCGUCAGGUUGAGGGCCUGGUGACCAUUGAGGUCGUGUGAGUUCAAGUCUCACCGAGCGCA
Molecule: transfer RNA, 85 nt
Filed under: Gammaproteobacteria bacterium
Lineage: Bacteria; Pseudomonadati; Pseudomonadota; Gammaproteobacteria
Also listed under: 1 other name
Description: tRNA-Leu
Rfam family: tRNA
About the family: Transfer RNA (tRNA) molecules are approximately 80 nucleotides in length. Their secondary structure includes four short double-helical elements and three loops (D, anti-codon, and T loops). Further hydrogen bonds mediate the characteristic L-shaped molecular structure. tRNAs have two regions of fundamental functional importance: the anti-codon, which is responsible for specific mRNA codon recognition, and the 3' end, to which the tRNAs corresponding amino acid is attached (by aminoacyl-tRNA synthetases). tRNAs cope with the degeneracy of the genetic code in two manners: having more than one tRNA (with a specific anti-codon) for a particular amino acid; and 'wobble' base-pairing, i.e. permitting non-standard base-pairing at the 3rd anti-codon position.
Source: RNAcentral